AUUGAACGCUGGCGGAAUGCUUUACACAUGCAAGUCGAACGGUAGAGGGGGCAACCCCUCGAGAGUGGCGAACGGGUGAGUAAUAUAUCGGAACGUGCCCAGUCGUGGGGGAUAACGUAGCGAAAGUUACGCUAAUACCGCAUACGAUCUAAGGAGGAAAGCGGGGGAUCGCAAGACCUAGCGCGAUUGGAGCGGCCGAUAUCAGAUUAGGUGGUUGGUGGGGUAAAGGCUCACCAAGCCAACGAUCUGUAGCUGGUCUGAGAGGACGACCAGCCACACUGGAACUGAGACACGGUCCAGACUCCUACGGGAGGCAGCAGUGGGGAAUUUUGGACAAUGGGCGAAAGCCUGAUCCAGCCAUUCCGCGUGCAGGAUGAAGGCCCUCGGGUUGUAAACUGCUUUUGUACAGAACGAAAAGGUUUCUACUAAUACUAGGAGCUCAUGACGGUACUGUAAGAAUAAGCACCGGCUAACUACGUGCCAGCCGCCGCGGUAA
This 496-nucleotide ribosomal RNA is filed under the name uncultured bacterium. RNAcentral's name for it is "partial 16S ribosomal RNA". It matches the Rfam family "Bacterial small subunit ribosomal RNA", at positions 30 to 523 of the family's 1533-position model. The record is from RNAcentral.